UACGUAGGGUGCAAGCGUUAAUCGGAAUUACUGGGCGUAAAGCGUGCGCAGGCGGUUGUGCAAGACAGAUGUGAAAUCCCCGGGCUUAACCUGGGAAUUGCAUUUGUGACUGCACGGCUAGAGUGUGUCAGAGGGGGGUAGAAUUCCACGUGUGAGCAGUGAAAUGCGUAGAUAUGUGGAGGAAUACCGAUGGCGAAGGCAGCCCCCUGGGAUAACACUGACGCUCAUGCACGAAAGCGUGG
This 242-nucleotide ribosomal RNA is filed under the name uncultured bacterium. RNAcentral describes it as "partial 16S ribosomal RNA". It matches the Rfam family "Bacterial small subunit ribosomal RNA", at positions 524 to 764 of the family's 1533-position model. The record is from RNAcentral.